GACGAACGCUGGCGGCGUGCUUAACACAUGCAAGUCGAACGGAAAGGCCCUGCUUUUGUGGGGUGCUCGAGUGGCGAACGGGUGAGUAACACGUGAGUAACCUGCCCUUGACUUUGGGAUAACUUCAGGCAACUGGGGCUAAUACCGGAUAGGAGCUCCUGCUGCAUGGUGGGGGUUGGAAAGUUUCGGCGGUUGGGGAUGGACUCGCGGCGUAUCAGCUUGUUGGUGGGGUAGUGGCUUACCAAGGCUUUGACGGGUAGCCGGCCUGAGAGGGUGACCGGCCACAUUGGGACUGAGAUACGGCCCAGACUCCUACGGGAGGCAGCAGUGGGGAAUAGUGCACAAUGGGCGGAAGCCUGAUGCAGCAACGCCGCGUGCGGGAUGACGGCCUUCGGUUUGUAAACCGCUUUCGCCUGUGACGAAGCGUGAGUGACGGUAAUGGGUAAAGAAGCACCGGCUAACUACGUG
This 468-nucleotide ribosomal RNA is filed under the name uncultured bacterium. Its description in RNAcentral is "partial 16S ribosomal RNA". It matches the Rfam family "Bacterial small subunit ribosomal RNA", at positions 28 to 507 of the family's 1533-position model. The record is from RNAcentral.